Molecule: non-coding RNA, 1074 nt
Organism: Oryctolagus cuniculus (rabbit)
Lineage: Eukaryota; Metazoa; Chordata; Mammalia; Lagomorpha; Leporidae
Source: RefSeq, a predicted model, not a curated record
UUCCCAUCCCACCCCCUGGCCAUUUUCCUGUUCUGAGCAAAUUCAAAAUACUUGGCUCGAAAUGACUGAUGAGUCACCAUGCAUGUUUUUUUUUUCCAAGUUCCAAACGCUAGAAUGAGCAUGCUUCUCAUAGCUGUGCUUAACUUGAAGAGAUGGAGCUAAUUUGGCUUUGCCUCUAAGGGAGGAACCUGUGUGGGGUUAAGAGCACUCAGAUCAUGGGAAGCUUUAAGGAGUCUUAAAAGGAAGCUUGAGAUGGUGUAGGGAGAGGGUCGGUGGCCUUCUGUUGUUGGAAUGUUUUGAGUCUCAUAUGGAAUGGAGAAAGGAUGAUGAACAGUUGCAGGGUACAGCAACAGAAUUUCACCACCUUUAUUGAGUCAUGUCUGGAACUUCAGCACAAUUCUGCCUCCUCCAGGCAUCAGUGAGAGGCACGUCCGUUACUGCCCUCACCUCCCUUUCUUGUCCUCACCUCUUCAUUUGCGCUUUGGACUGGACUGGCACCCAUUAUUCUGUGACCUCUAUGGAUGAAGUACAGGGAAUCUGCAGCUUUUGGUGAGCACACUCACCUGGUCCUCCCUGCCAGAUGGAGCCUGGGCGCUGCCCCCCAGAGGACGCGUCCUGACACCCCCAGAGGCCUGGGGAGCCAUUCUCCAUCUGGUGAUCUGGAAUGGAAGUCCAAGGACAGCAGAGAAGGUCUGAGAUGUGACAACAGCUGCGAGAGCAACUGCGGUCCCUCUGUCCCUCCAGCAUGUCACACCCACCACAGCUCUGCCUGGUGGCCAGGCAAGUGGAGGAAGUCAGUACAGAGGAUGGGCCUUUUCCUCCAUCCCGUCCGCCCUCUGUUCCAUCCUCCGCAGCCAGCCUGACUUUGUGAUGACCUCUGCAGUCCCGCCUUUGCAUUCUGCAGUGCCCCGGGUUUGCAAUGACACGCUGCAUUUCUCCACAAGUUUUCAUUUCUGUGGCGCCAAGGCUGGGGAGCUUCAGAGGGCCAGGCUGCUCUGUAACUAACGUCACUGUGUAAUCUGCCUAAGCCUUGACUAAUGCAUUCCUUGCAUUAUUAAACACAGAUUAAAUAUA